This is a long non-coding RNA of Phyllostomus discolor (pale spear-nosed bat), 353 nucleotides long. RefSeq lists it as uncharacterized. The transcript has 3 exons. The record is from RefSeq and is a predicted model, not a curated record. Lineage: Eukaryota; Metazoa; Chordata; Mammalia; Chiroptera; Phyllostomidae.
AGAAGAGACCAGAACUAGUAAAGCUUUUUACGACAGGGGCUGCAGAACAAAUCAAGCACAUCCUGGCUAAUUUCAAAAACUACCAGUAGUUUUUGGUGAAAACAUGAAUCUGGAUGCCAUGGCUCUCUGCUGGACUAUCGUGAAGAUGGUGGGACCCAUACAUGAUUUUCUUUAAGGAUGGUUUAUAAAUGGAAAAAUGUUAACAAAUUUGGCAGUUUGGGUCAGUUAACUGUCAUAACUGGCUGCUGCUUUUCAUCUUCACACCAGGACUAGGGCAAAUGGGACUGAUGUUAUCUUGAGCUCGUCAUUUAUUUUGACCUUGAUUUUUUUGGAGCAGAGGCAUUGUUUUUAAG